This 145-nucleotide microRNA precursor is filed under the name Marmota monax (woodchuck). Lineage: Eukaryota; Metazoa; Chordata; Mammalia; Rodentia; Sciuridae. The record is from RNAcentral.
UGUGUGUGUGUACGUGUGUGUGUGUGUGUGUGGUGGAUUGUGUUCUCAGACUUAGGGUGAGGGAACAAAUGAAACCAGCACUACGUUUUCUUAUAUUUGGAAGCUGGAACAAACACACACACACACACACACACACACACACACA